GGAACGUCUCGGCCUCUCUCCUGCCCUCCCAGUCGGUCUUCCACGCCCGGACAGACUUACUGUAACUGUAAUGAUACAUCGUUGCUGUGUGUAGGAGCAGAGGCCCCCCGCCUGAACCAGCCGGCCCAUAGGUCGGGUCAAACAACCAGCUGCCGACCAGGAACAUUCAAAGAAGAGGGGGGGGAGUCGUUGUGUGUGGUCUGUCCAAUAGGUCAUUACUGCAUGGGAGGUGUAGUUGUACCCUGUCCUGCAGGGACUUACGGCCCUAAAGUAGGUCUGCAGCGGUUGAGAGAAUGCACCGUCUGUCCUGCAGGGUUUUUCUGUCUGGAAGGCAGCUCAUUGAGGCCUACCUCCCAGUUCCUGUGCCCACUGGGAUAUUACUGUGAAGAGGGCACUGCCAUCCCGCAUGGGUCACCUUGCCCUGCUGGUACGGCAGGGGAACAACUGGGUCAGACAAGUAGGGCAGCCUGCAAGAGAUGUAGAGAAGGACGCUUCUGUCCUGCAGGCUCAUCGGGUCCUGGCCUGCCCUGUGCUCGUGGGAAAUACUGUCCUGCUGGCACCCUGGAAGAAGUUACGUGUCCUCGAGGCACCUUCACCCCUCAUCAAGGAGCAAUAAGUGUGAAGGACUGUCUCAAAUGCCCUGCUGGUUUUUACUGUCUUGAGGGGAGAAGCGACCCUGUGCCCUGUCCUCCAGGCACCUUUAACCCCUCAGAGGGUCAGGAUGAGUUGACUGACUGCAGAGAGUGUUAUGCAGGAAAAGCCUGCACACAGGUGGCUUUGAGAGCACCCGAUGUGGACUGCAUGCAAGGGUUUGCAUGUCCCCCUGGUUCCUCCAAACCUAACCCGCCAGCCAAUGCCUGCCCACCAGGGAC
Molecule: long non-coding RNA, 872 nt
Organism: Gasterosteus aculeatus aculeatus (three-spined stickleback)
Lineage: Eukaryota; Metazoa; Chordata; Actinopteri; Perciformes; Gasterosteidae
Source: Ensembl